CGAGCAGGAACUCUACAACCAUUAAGCCUUCCACUCCAUCCCCCCCAUUCUCCCACCCCCUGUGCUGUUUUCUUUUUUCACCUAAACAAGAUUUCCGCCUGGCCCGUCACACUGUCUCCUCAUACCCCAUGUACACAUCUCUGGAGGCGCAGGAUAGAGAGCUGCAGUAAUGGAGCUUGCAUGUAUAUGGCAGCUAUUCCAUGAGGCCCUUGACGCCCUCACACCUCAGCCUCGCUGAUAGGAGGCAGAGCUGGGAACCCACGGAGCCUAAGAGGCUAAGCUUGGCCCUCGGGAUGUUGCCAGGCCCCACAGCUUCCCCCACAGGGAAGGGACCAGAAACCAGACCCCCAGGCUCUUCCACCAUCAGGGCUGCCUCAGGCUCUGACCAGUGUCCUUGCCCUCUUCCCGUCCACCCUGUCUCCGUGGGGAGCGUUCCUGGAGAAUCUCCGUGUGACGGUGGGGAGAGAACAGAGGCCUCCCUGAAGCGGCCUGGGUGCCAAUCCCUGGCUUGUCUGUGGCUGCUCCCCGCAGGAGCUCCGUGCGAUUACUGAUCCGCAAAGUACAGCAUGCCCCACUUGAGAUGGGUCCCCAGCCCCGAGCUGAGGCGGCCUGGCAGUUCUUCAUGUCUGACAAGCCCCUGCACCUUGCGGUCUCGCUCAACAAAGAGAUCUAUUUCCAUGGGGAGCCCAUCCCUGUGACCGUGACUGUCACCAAUAACACAGAGAAGACCGUGAAGAAGAUUAAAGCAUUCGUGGAACAGGUGGCCAACGUGGUUCUCUACUCGAGUGAUUAUUACGUCAAGCCCGUGGCUAUGGAGGAAGCGCAAGAAAAAGUGCCGCCAAACAGCACUUUGACCAAGACACUGACGCUACUGCCCUUGCUGGCUAACAAUCGAGAAAGGAGAGGCAUUGCCCUGGAUGGGAAAAUCAAGCAUGAGGACACAAACCUUGCCUCCAGCACCAUCAUUAAGGAGGGCAUAGACCGGACCGUCCUGGGGAUCCUGGUGUCUUACCAGAUCAAGGUGAAGCUUACGGUGUCAGGCUUUCUGGGAGAGCUCACCUCCAGUGAAGUCGCCACUGAGGUCCCAUUCCGCCUCAUGCACCCUCAGCCUGAGGACCCAGGUCAGUUAUGUCCUUUUUUAGCUUUCUUUAAUUAUUUACUACUUGCAGAUUUAUUGUUGAUGUAUUUCUAGUCUUUCUUGACCACACCUCAGAGCAUGGGAGUGGCCAGGUGUAAGAGAUUCCAUGUGAUCUGCAAGGUGAAUAGUCUAGGGGGAAGGGAGGGCCCAUCUGUUCAGCGCUGAGCCGGGUAGAUUAUCCACCUUCAGCUGGAGUCUGCAAGACGUAGCAUCCUUGCUCUUGGACAGGGACAAUCUCACGAGGUUUUAUCAAGAAUGAUUUAAGAGCAGAAGCUCUGCUGUCAACAGACCUGGAUUUAGAAUUAAAGAUGAUUUAGGUAAAAACUUAAUUUGAGAGCACGAGAAUUUUGCAUUUCAUUUGGAAACAAAGGCCUCAGGUUUCAUUUGAAAGCAUUAACAGACAUUUAAAAGAAGAUAAUUUUUUUUUUUUUUUGAGACGGAGUCUCACUCUGUCACCCAGUCUGGAGUGCAGUGGUGUGAUCAAGCUUACUACAGCCUCGACCUCCUGGGCUCAAGCCACCCUCCUACCUCAGCUUCUGAAGUAGCUGGAACUACAGGCAUACCACCACCCUCAGCUAAUGUUUUUGAUUUUUAGUAGAGAUGAGGUCUUGCCAUGUUGCUCAGGCUAGUCUUGAACUCCUGAGCUCAAGUGAUCUUUCUGCCUCAUCCUCCCAAAGUGCUGGGAUUACAGGCAUGAGCCACUACACCUGGCUGAAGAUAACUUUUUUUGUUUGUUGUUGUUUUUCUGAGAUGGAGUCUCUGUCACCCAGCUGGAGUGCAGUGGCACAACCUUGGCUCACUGCAACCUCUGCCUCCUGGGUUCAAGUGAUUCUCAUGCCUCAGCCUCCUGAAUAGCUGGGAUUACAGGCGCCUGCCACCCCACCGGGCUAAUUUUUGUAUUUUUAGUAGAGAUGGGUUUUCACCAUGUUGGCCAGGCUGGUCUCAAACUCCUGGCCUCAGGUGAUCUGUCCACCUCAGCCCUCCAAAGUGCUGUGAUUACAGGCGUGAGCCAAUGUGCCCGGCCUGACUUAAUUUUUUAAAGUUCUUUUCCAUAUACAACUUUCACGUUCCAGUCAUUAUGGCCUUAACGGUGAACAUAUCACAAUGUCAGGAUGAAAGAAUGAUCUUUUGUACUGUGAGAUUUCUGGGAGCAAAGGUUAAGACAAAUCACCCCAUGGUUACAAAAUUCUGAUUUCUAGAGAUAUGAGAUAGAUAUGAGAUAGAUGAGAUUUCUAGAGAUAAAUGUCAUCUCUCCUGUCUUCUCUGCCUGGUUCUCGGCUCCCUGAGUCUAGGCUGGUAAGAUUCUAAGCAGAGAAAGCAUAAGCUAUAUGUAGUUAAGCCCUGCUGGAGCCUGGGGACCAAGUAAUUUGUGUGUAAUAAGUGCUGUGACAUGCUACCAAGUUUUUAUUGUCCCCUGUCAAGGGCAUCUGUACUGAAUCCGAAGAUGCUGAUUUGAUUCUUCCUUGUUGUCUACCUCUGCAAGGCUGAUGGUCCUGCUUAGUGUCAUUCCUUCGCUUAGCACUGUGGGCCGCAGGGUAUUUCUUGCCCAGGGGAUGUUUUGACAAGCUAGCCUCUCUAGGGCCCCUGUAUGUAGCGACGCUCAUAGACGCUCCCUCCCAGUGCUGGCUUCCAGGUGGGCACCAGAGACGAGAGCAGGGGUUCACCAUCAAAUCGCUGCUGUGCUCCUCAAAACUAGGUGGGCAGAAAGCUAAAAAAGUACAAAAACCAUUCAAAUUAAUAGUAGUUAGUCUGGGGAUACAACACAUGUGAAAACAUAACCCAACAACAACAAAAUCAAUAAGUUAACAGAAAUUGAAAACUUUGCGGCUGGGGGUUGGUCCUCAAGCUUUAAUGCACACCCUAACCCUGGGGUGCUGGCGAACGUGAAGUCCCAGGUCUUAGCCCUCUGAAGCCUGACAGAUGGAGGUGCCAGGGUGCACAUGCUCACGGCACCCUGGCGACCCUGACCUCAAUGGGGUCCAGAGGACAUGGAAGGAGAAAUACUUUGAAAGGUGAAGCAACUGGCUGGGCAGGGAGGCCAAGGCGGGCGGAUCACUUGAGGUCAGGAGUUCGAAACCAGCCUGGCCAACAAGGUGAAACCCCGUCUCUACUAAAAAUACAAAAAUUAGCCAGGCAUGGUGGUGGGUGCCUGUAAUCCCAGCUGCUUGGGAGGUUAAGACAGGAGAAUCACUUGAACCUGGGAGACGGAGGUUGCAGUGAGCUGAGAUUGUGCCACUUCACUCCAGCCUGGGCAACAGAGCAAGAUGCCAUCUCAAAUAAAUAAAUAAAUAAAUAAAUAAAUAAGGAAGGAGAAGCGACAUCAGAGGGGGGCAAGGCUGAUCAGGGAAAGCAUCCUAGAGGUGAGACUGGGGGGGGGUUUCAUUUGAGGAGGUGAAGGCUGUGGCACAUUGUAAAGGAAGCAGCGAUUUAAAAUGCAAGGAGAGGCCGGGUGCGGUGGCUCACGCCUGUAAUCCCAGCACUUGGGAGGCCGAGGCGGGCAGAUCACUUGAGGUCAGGAGUUUGAGACCUGCCUGGCCAACAUAGUUGAAACCCCUUCUCUACUAAAGAUACAAAAAUUAGCCCGGUAUAAUGGCGCAUGCCUGUAAUCCUAGCUACUUGGGAGGCUGAGGCACGAGAAUCUCUUGAAACCAGGAGGCAAAGGUUGUAAUGAGCAGAGAUUGUGCCACUGCAUUCCAGCCUGGGUGACAGAGAGAGACUCAGUCUCAAAUAAACUAAACUAAACUAAACUAAACUAAACUAAACUAAACUAACUAACUAAACUAAACUAAACUGAACUAAACUAAACUAAGCUAAA
RNAcentral lists this small RNA (3953 nucleotides) under Pongo abelii (Sumatran orangutan). RNAcentral's name for it is "retained intron". Lineage: Eukaryota; Metazoa; Chordata; Mammalia; Primates; Hominidae. The record is from RNAcentral.